UACGGAGGGUGCGAGCGUUGUUCGGAAUUAUUGGGCGUAAAGCGCGCGCAGGCGGGACGUUAAGUCCGAUGUGAAAUCCCUCGGCUCAACCGAGGACGUGCAUUGGAUACUGGCAUUCUUGAGUCCUGGAGAGGGUGGCGGAAUUCCCAGUGUAGAGGUGAAAUUCGUAGAUAUUGGGAGGAACACCGGCGGCGAAGGCGGCCACCUGGACAGUGACUGACGCUGAGGCGCGAAAGCAUGGGUAGCAAACAGG
RNAcentral lists this unclassified non-coding RNA (253 nucleotides) under uncultured delta proteobacterium. Its description in RNAcentral is "contains 16S-23S intergenic spacer region". It matches the Rfam family "Bacterial small subunit ribosomal RNA", at positions 524 to 776 of the family's 1533-position model. Lineage: Bacteria; Deltaproteobacteria. The record is from RNAcentral.